GCCGGGCGUGGUGGCUCAUGCCUGUAAUCCCAGCACACUGGGAGGCCGAGGUGGGAGGAUCACCUGAGCUCAGGAGUUCGAGACCAGCCUGGCCAACAUGGUGAAACCCCAUCUCUU
RNAcentral lists this non-coding RNA (117 nucleotides) under Pan paniscus (pygmy chimpanzee). Lineage: Eukaryota; Metazoa; Chordata; Mammalia; Primates; Hominidae. RNAcentral also lists the same sequence under 1 other name. The record is from Rfam by way of RNAcentral.